RNAcentral lists this ribosomal RNA (696 nucleotides) under Triticum aestivum (bread wheat). RNAcentral describes it as "partial small subunit ribosomal RNA". Lineage: Eukaryota; Viridiplantae; Streptophyta; Magnoliopsida; Poales; Poaceae. The record is from RNAcentral.
AUGUGGGAAGAAUGCUUGCCUCAUAUUGAGUUUGCUUAUAAUCGUUCAUUGCAUUCUACUACUAAGAUGUGCCCUUUUGAAAUUGUGUAUGGUUUCCUACCUCGUGCACCUAUUGAUUUGUUGCCUCUUCCAUCUUCGGAGAAGGUUAAUUUUGAUGCUAAACAACGUGCUGAAUUGAUCUUAAAAAUGCAUGAGUUAACUAAGGAAAACAUUGAGCGUAUGAAUGCUAAAUAUAAACUUGCUGGAGAUAAGGGUAGAAAACAUGUUGUGUUUGCACCUGGAGAUCUUGUUUGGUUACAUUUGCGUAAGGAUAGAUUUCCUGAUUUGCGCAAAUCAAAGCUAAUGCCACGUGCUGAUGGUCCUUUUAAGGUGUUAGAGAAAAUAAAUGAUAAUGCAUAUAAACUUGAGCUGCCUGCAGAUUUUGGGGUCAGUCCCACUUUUAAUAUUGCAGAUUUGAAGCCUUAUUUGGGUGAGGAAGAUGAGCUUCCGUCGAGGACGACUUCAUUUCAAGAAGGGGAGGAUGAUGAGGACAUCAAUACAAUUGUUACACCCACAGGCCCUGCUGCUAUACAUACUGGACCAAUUACUAGAGCUCGCGCACGCCAAUUAAAUUACCAGGAAACAGACCCUCGUGGUCAGGUUGAUCGUGCUCCGGCGUGGUCGAUAACCUCUCGGAGUUGGUUUAGCGAUUGCUAA